This 440-nucleotide ribosomal RNA is filed under the name uncultured bacterium. RNAcentral describes it as "partial 16S ribosomal RNA". It matches the Rfam family "Bacterial small subunit ribosomal RNA", at positions 338 to 795 of the family's 1533-position model. The record is from RNAcentral.
CCUACGGGAGGCAGCAGUGGGGAAUAUUGCACAAUGGGGGAAACCCUGAUGCAGCGACGCCGCGUGAGUGAAGAAGUAUUUCGGUAUGUAAAGCUCUAUCAGCAGGGAAGAAAAUGACGGUACCUGAUUAAGAAGCCCCGGCUAACUACGUGCCAGCAGCCGCGGCAAUACGUAGGGGGCAAGCGUUAUCCGGAUUUACUGGGUGUAAAGGGGGCGUAGGCGGUGAUGCAAGUCAGAAGUGAAAGCCCGGGGCUCAACUCCGGGACUGCUUUUGAAACUGUGUGACUGGAGUGCAGGAGCGGUAGGCGGAAUUUCUGGUGUAGCGGUGAAAUGCGUAGAUAUCAGGAGGAACACCAGUGGCGAAGGCAGCUUACUGGUCUGUAACUGACGUUGAGGCUCGAAAGCGUGGGGAGCAAACAGGAUUAGAUACCCGGGUAGUC